Molecule: small nuclear RNA, 125 nt
Organism: Talpa occidentalis (Iberian mole)
Lineage: Eukaryota; Metazoa; Chordata; Mammalia; Eulipotyphla; Talpidae
Product: U11 spliceosomal RNA
Exons: 1
Source: RefSeq, a predicted model, not a curated record
AAAAAGGGCUUCUGUGGUGAAUGGGACAGGUAGGGCAGCUUGAUUGUCCGUUUGCAGAAUUGACAUCAAAGGAUUUCAGAAGCAUAAUUUUUUGGCACUUGGGCAGCUGGUGAUCAUUGGUCCCG